GACCCGCGUCUGAUUAGCUAGUUGGUAAGGUAACGGCUUACCAAGGCGACGAUCAGUAGCCGACCUGAGAGGGUGAUCGGCCACAUUGGAACUGAGACACGGUCCAAACUCCUACGGGAGGCAGCAGUGGGGAAUAUUGCACAAUGGGCGAAAGCCGGAUGCAGCAACGCCGCGUGAGUGAUGAAGGCCUUCGGGUCGUAAAACUCUGUCCUCAAGGAAGAUAAUGACGGUACUUGAGGAGGAAGCCCCGGCUAACUACGUGCCAGCAGCCGCGGUAAUACGUAGGGGGCUAGCGUUAUCCGGAUUUACUGGGCGUAAAGGGUGCGUAGGCGGUCUUUCAAGUCAGGAGUGAAAGGCUACGGCUCAACCGUAGUAAGCUCUUGAAACUGGGAGACUUGAGUGCAGGAGAGGAGAGUGGAAUUCCUAGUGUAGCGGUGAAAUGCGUAGAUAUUAGGAGGAACACCAGUUGCGAAGGCGGCUCUCUGGACUGUAACUGACGCUGAGGCACGAAAGCGUGGGGAGCAAACAGGAUUAGAUACCCUGGUAGUCCACGCUGUAAACGAUGAGUACUAGGUGUCGGGGGUUACCCCC
Molecule: ribosomal RNA, 591 nt
Filed under: Clostridioides difficile
Lineage: Bacteria; Bacillati; Bacillota; Clostridia; Peptostreptococcales; Peptostreptococcaceae
Description: bacterial SSU rRNA
Rfam family: Bacterial small subunit ribosomal RNA
Source: RNAcentral